Odontomachus brunneus is the source of this 5456-nucleotide long non-coding RNA. RefSeq lists it as uncharacterized. Lineage: Eukaryota; Metazoa; Arthropoda; Insecta; Hymenoptera; Formicidae. The record is from RefSeq and is a predicted model, not a curated record. The transcript is spliced from 5 exons.
CGAGAUGCAAUUAAAUCGUUGUAAGUGAUAAAUCUGUUGCUUCUUAUAUGAUGUAGGAACGAUAGUCCGCGCGACAGGAGGGCGUAAAGAGAUUGAACGGGAGCGACAAUUUUCUUUUCUUCGCAAAAAGUAAUCGCGUUCCGCGGAACUUUCGGCAAUGUUACAUUAAGAGUUCGAUAUAAAAGAUAAGUCGAAUCGAAAUCGAAGUGUGUCACACAUUGUAAAGAUUUUAGUGAUUAAACUUUUCUAGUGGUUCUUCCCCCCUAGGAGUCAAGUGGUAUAACCAACAAACUUACCCCCAAAUGCGAAGUCUCUGAAUCCGCCACUGCCAACAAGUGGUAUCAGUCGACAGUCAUUGGCGGCUGCCGGCAACGAAUCGCGCGUCACCUUUGGCGCGCGAGCGGCGGCACCGACGGAAAUAAUCGAAUCGCAGUCACGGCGGUCGAGUGGGGAAAUCGCCGCAAAGUUGGCGGUACAGAGCGGCAACAGAGGGAGAAAGAGGAGGGAGACUCGCCGACUUCCUCGUAGCUUCCUCGUAAUCGUGAUCAUGAUUGUCGUCGAGUUAACCCCGGACGAUCGUUUCCACUUGUGAGCAACGUAGAACAGCAUGAUGGAAGUAGCCGGGGCUACUUCGGAAAUAACGUUACGGUUAUUGAUCUACUUGUGAGUACGUCGUGAUUCUCGCGAAAACGACGCGCAACUAUGUUCACAUCAGGAUUCAAACGAAUCAUACGUUUGCGUUGACCGGGCAUCGAUGUGUGAGGCUGCAAGUUCCCAUUGACGGUUUCGACAGAUCGUGUGAUUUCUAUGCUCACAAGUAGACGCUUGGUUUACGAGAAAGAUUCUCCGCGUCAGAUAUGGGAAAAGUGUCCAUACUAUUCGAUCCCACUGAAGUUAUGAUAAUGCUUUGACACAUCAGAAGCUAGACUCAAAGUUUCAAAUGUUCAUACUAUACGUCUAUGAAAAAGUAUGAAGUUACUAAAAACAAGAUCUAGGACAUCGCGAUCUUGAACUGAUCCGUCUGCGAGUCUUCGUCAUCGGCCGAAGUUCGUGUUUCUUCCUUCCUGGCGCUAUGACUUUAUCGUGGCGGCGCGCGUUUGUUCAGGUUUGUCCGAGGAGGAUCCUGCAGCUGCAACUGGCGAAAUUCAAGAACAGGCGACAGCGACACCACCAUCACCACCAUUGACGAUCACGACCGACCGACGUCAUCGUCAUCGUCGUCGUCGUCGUCGUCGUCGUCGACGAGGGGGAUAGGAGGAGAUGGUGGCGGUGCUGAUGAAGUCUGACGAGGUCCGAGGGAAGAGUGAGGGUGCGGGUCUUAAGAGGCACGCGCGACCGGCCCAACCGUUGGAAGCGAGAGCAGCGGUGGUGGAACAAGACGAGGAGAAAGAGCAGAUGCCUCUGUUAUUACAGGUUUCGCCUUUCGUAACGCUACACCUUCGCUCGCGAGAGCUCCACGAAUCUUUCGGUACGCGUAUCCCUCGUAUAUCUCUCGCGGCGCGCCAUUUUGAUGCCUUUCUUCGGAAUUGACCUAGUGCCGGGCAAAUUGAAGAAACGCGAGAUAGAUUCCUCAUUCUUCGACGCGGUCCUGCGCGCUCACACAGAGGUUUUUCUUAUUUCCACGCGAUAUCUCCAAAAUUCUUUUCGCCCGUCAGUCAAUACGCGGGGGAGAAAGAAAUGUUUUGCUCCGGGAAACUCCGAUUUUGAAACUUCUCAACAGACUAUAUGUCUCGCAAACUAUAUAUCUUCAUCCAUAAACUUGGGUAAGCGUGUAUGUCUUGGAUAAUUGAAUUGAACUAAUUAAUUACACUUGAUCUUUGCCAUAGAAAUAUCAUUCGAAUUCAUACCUGCCGAGUCGACAGAACAACAAUUCUAAGUUGCCCUUCUAUCUUUCUUUCUUCAUUAUUACGUAUCACUAACAUUCUCUUCCGAGGGGAAAAUAUUUACAAGUAUAAAAGUACAAAAAGUAUCAAGAUAGAAUCUAGAGAAAAUUUAUUCUGCGAAAUAUAAGAGCGAGAUUCUAUUGUGGAUCCGAAUGGACCCUCUACUACUAUCCAUACGAUGAACGAUGUUAGAGGCGAACCGUUAAUUAGUGAACGCAGAUAUAACCUAACCCAUCAGUCUCGAUUAAAAUGCGCGGUGAUGAAAGCAACAUCGCGAUGUAAUGCGAGGUCUCGCCUUAGACUCGCUCGAUGGCGGCGUGUCGCGCACCAAUUCAACCGAUCAGCCUUGAGAUUGCCGGUAUCUGUUAAUAGAUCUAUCUCUUAGGUAUCUUUCCACGUCGCAAUAGUUCCGGUGUGUCGGGACCGGUAACUCGCUCCGGUGCGACUAGUUUUCCGUUUAAUCUCCGGCUCGUAAGCGCAGCGAUGACCGAACAAGACACGAGAAGACGCCGAGUGUUAUAUCCGACGGAUAUAAAAGGGAAAGGAAAAGGUAGGAAGGCAUCGAAAUUUAGCCAGACAAUAUAUCAAUCGCUAAAGGACCGUCCUUUGAUCCCUUCCGGCACCUACGUCAGACAUUCGAUGGUACCUGUGUGUAUCUUCAUCUUUAUCCCAGUUUCUUUUCCCCAAUAGCCAAGCACGAAUACUUGCCACGUGACCCGACCUCUUCGUCGUAUCUAUCUCGAAUCUAGAAAGUUGGGAAAUGUACGCACAGGGGCGUGAUGUCCGCCGAGGAACCGACUCCUGCGGCUUUUAGUACCUUCCGUCUACGUCUUUGACGAAAAUUUCACUUUUUGGAAAAACAUUUCUCAAAAAGAGAUUUCAUGGUUAUACAUAAUGUAUAACUGGCACAUCUGUGUGCAGGUAGUAUCAUCAAAUAAAGUGAAAAAAUUAUUUUGCAAAUAACCGUGCGUGAAUUCUUGAUAUAUUAAUGAUUGAGAAUUGACAAACGAUUACGCGCGAUGCGGUGGAAAACGAACUCUUUAUGAAUCAUACAUAAUCAAAAAAUUUGCGACGAAAACUUGGGGUAAGAAAGCGAAGGAAUCGUUGAUCCGUACCUAUCAAAUUUUCUUCUUUCCAUAAACAAACUCUGAUUCUAGAGAAGCAUACUUUCUAUAAAAUGUAGUAUACACCAAUAAUUAUAUCGACGCACGUGUGUAUAUGCGUGCGUAACAUGUUAAAAACUGUGCGGAAAUACUUAGAAUCAUGACUGUGCCGUGUUUAACGUAUCAGUAUGCCCAUCCUAUGGGUUUUUCGAGCAUUUUGACUCACUACUACAUGUACGUACUAUGCCCUUGAAAGGGUCGUACACAAUUUCUCGUCGCAGAAUAGAAGAAAGAUGACGGGAAGGAAAUAAAAAGAGGAAUGUAAAGGAGAAUUUCUAACGUAGCGGGGCGAAAGAUGUGCAUUGAAUGGUUCAGGGUUCGCGGCAUGAUGAACACGACUGAUCCUGUAUCUGGACAAAACGGAUUAUCGUCUUUAGAGUUUCGCCUAAGAAGCAGGAAUUCCUGCUUGGAACAACCAUUCAUGUAGCGGGAAAUACGCGAUGUUUAAGGCCGCUGGCUCCUCACCGCGGAACUCUUGAUUGAUGAUGUCAGGAGCGAGAGAAAGUGCAUACCCAAAAUUCUUGCAAAAUACGUUGAAAUAAAAAGAUGUCCAUGAAAUGGCAAUCGAUUAGGCACAUCUGUAAAAUAGUCCACUUGUCUUUUGUUCUAAUAAUCAAUAAAUUACUGUAAAACUGAUGUGCUAUGUUGCAAUCUACUUUUUUAACCUGUGUAAUCCUAUCACAUUAAUUUCACGAUUAUUUAUAGAUUAUUAGAGUAAAAGAAAAGUGUUUAGACUAUUUUACAAAUUUACUCGACCAAUUGCAAAUAUCAUUUUGUGAACAUAUCAUUUAAUUUCAACGUAUUUAGUAAAAAACCUUCAGCGUGAAUCUUGUUUUCCUGAUGCCAUAAAUCAAUAUGGCAAGGAAAUAGGAGCCUUAAGCACAUUUCGGUAAAACACUUUUAAGAGUUAAUGCUCGCUGAUAUUAUGCACACUCUAUUAACACUGUAUCUACCGGACCUAAUACACUUAGAAAUAUUAAGAUCUGUAUAUUAUUCUAUACAAAACUUUUUACGAUUAUGUCUAACAUAAAUGUUAUUUAUAACUACGACGUAUUAUUUGUUAUUAAGAGUGGCGCUCGAUCGUAUCUUUAUGCAAAUUUGAAUAGAUAAGGUGAAAGUACCAAAUCCCAGAAACGUAUUUAAUCUUGGACAUUUUUAUUGUUUCGACCUUUAAAUACGGAUAUUUAAACUCUAUAUAUAUUUUUUUUUAUAUUAAAUGUUUAAAUAUUCGUAUUUAACAUAUUCGCUAUCAUGAUUUAUUUAGAAGACUUCACUUUUCCCACAGCCUACUUCAUAUUUUUUUUUACAUAAUUGUGUAAAACAGAAUUAAUUUGAUAAUGUGUGAGAGUAUAGAACAUGUUGCAUCACACAUAUCACACAUAUGUAACAUUGGUAAUCAACGUUGAUGUUAAAGGCUAAAACAAUAAGAAUGUCCAGGAUUAGGUACGUAUCUGGGUAAUUGGAACUUUUACGCUAAUCGUAUCUCCGAUUGAAAUUCCGAUCGACAUUGCAUUGACAGUAACGUUGUCGGAGAUUGCGCGACUCGAACUUGUACGAAUAGCUGCCGCGGGAUUUGCUACUUAGAACGUGAUCAAUUGCGGUACCUUCCUUCUCUCGAUUUUUUGCACGUUUAUUUUUGCGAGGCGCACUUCGCGUCGUCGCGCAGGACUCGAAACGCAUGCACCAAACAUCCUGUCCGCGCCGGUCUACAGCGGCGGCGGCGGCGGCGGCGGCGGCGGCGGUGGUGGCGCCGUCGCCGUCGCGGCCGCAUCCAGCUCUCGUCCUUGUUUUUCGCCGGCAACAUCCGCGGAAUUGACGUCUUCGAGGUUAAGGCAGGCCGAUAAGACCAUGAAAAAUGGAAAAACCUGUUCCUCUUCCUGUGUCGAGGAUGAGACGGCGAUCAUUACAUGCUCGAACGCACACAGGGAGUCUUGAACGCGGAUACCCACCUCCGUUCAGGUAUCUCGAGUACCCGCGGACGAAGGAUACAAGCGGAAUCUUGAUGCGUCCGGAAGCGUGUACCGGAUUUGUUUUAUUCUCGCGUACGCGCUUUUUGCGCCUUUUGCGCUACGCGGUUGGUCGAACCAACCGAGCCGACAAUUGACCGCGACGAAUGGAGGAAGGGAAGAACAUUUUCUUGCAGUUUUCCGAAGGUGUUAGAUAAGUGAGGAUAAGAAAAGUGUGCAUCUGAAGAGUAUAUCUCUUUCUAUCUCUCUCUCUCUCUGUUUCACCUGACAGUAAUAAAUUAUAAUAUAAUAUACGGCGGCAAAACACAGCGACGCAACUAGUCAAACGUUUUAUCGAAUGUACGAAUGAAAAUGAACGGCCGGACGAUGAAUACUCGCACAUUAUACAUGUUGCAAUGAAAACGACAAAUAAUUAAUAUAUGAAUAAUACAGGGUAAUAUAUA